UUCCAAAGUGUUGAGUUCAGUUCAGGGACG
RNAcentral lists this non-coding RNA (30 nucleotides) under Cricetulus griseus (Chinese hamster). Lineage: Eukaryota; Metazoa; Chordata; Mammalia; Rodentia; Cricetidae. The record is from RNAcentral.